RNAcentral lists this ribosomal RNA (253 nucleotides) under uncultured bacterium. Its description in RNAcentral is "partial 16S ribosomal RNA". It matches the Rfam family "Bacterial small subunit ribosomal RNA", at positions 524 to 776 of the family's 1533-position model. The record is from RNAcentral.
UACGUAGGGUGCAAGCGUUGUCCGGAAUUACUGGGCGUAAAGGGCGCGUAGGCGGCCCGCUAAGUCGAACGUGAAAUCCCCAGGCUUAACCUGGGAACUGCGUCCGAUACUGGCAGGCUUGAAUCCGGGAGAGGGAUGUGGAAUUCCAGGUGUAGCGGUGAAAUGCGUAGAUAUCUGGAGGAACACCGGUGGCGAAGGCGGCAUCCUGGACCGGCAUUGACGCUGAGGCGCGAAAGCUAGGGGAGCAAACGGG